This 265-nucleotide ribosomal RNA is filed under the name uncultured bacterium. RNAcentral's name for it is "partial 16S ribosomal RNA". It matches the Rfam family "Bacterial small subunit ribosomal RNA", at positions 793 to 1055 of the family's 1533-position model. The record is from RNAcentral.
GUCCACGCCCUAAACGAUGUCAAUUAGCUGUUGGGGGUUAGAAUCCUUGGUAGCGUAGCUAACGCGUGAAAUUGACCGCCUGGGGAGUACGGCCGCAAGGUUAAAACUCAAAGGAAUUGACGGGGCCCGCACAAGCGGUGGAUGAUGUGGAUUAAUUCGAUGCAACGCGAAAAACCUUACCUGCUCUUGACAUGUACGGAACUUGCCAGAGAUGGCUUUGGUGCCCGAAAGGGAGCCGUUAACACAGGUGCUGCAUGGCUGUCGU